CAAGAUCCAGCUCCACACCCGUUGCUCCAUUCUCAGCUGCCUUAAAAAAAGUUUUAAAAAUCACAUACAGAACAGAAGAGACAGCUUUAUGGAUUUGACACAGCUGAAACCAUAAUGAUUCUGCCUGAGUCUUGGGAUUGGAACUGUUUCAGGAUAAAAAUGCAGAAAAGAAUCGUGUUCUCUCCUUACAUGUAAUAACCCUGGAGGCCUUAAGUUAUGUUAUUUUCUAAAAGACAAGAGAAGCAAAUGCCUACAGUUUACAUAACCUACACUUUAACACUUAGUCAACACUCUUCACCACGUGUGUACCAAGCAGUAGACAGAUGCAGACUAAUCCCUGCUCCUCUCUGAGGAAUGGCUUUAUCAGAGAGCAAGAAGCAGCCAGUCUGCCUUACAAUAUUUCAUACACCCUGUUCCUGCCCUGGAUCUUUCCCAAGAACUCUGCAGAAAAACACCUGAGUGAAGUGCUAACAACACCAAUUGC
Long non-coding RNA from Parus major (Great Tit), 484 nucleotides. RefSeq lists it as uncharacterized. The record is from RefSeq and is a predicted model, not a curated record. The transcript is spliced from 2 exons. NCBI's taxonomy places the organism in Eukaryota, Metazoa, Chordata, Aves, Passeriformes, Paridae.